This 893-nucleotide ribosomal RNA is filed under the name uncultured bacterium. Its description in RNAcentral is "bacterial SSU rRNA". It matches the Rfam family "Bacterial small subunit ribosomal RNA", at positions 56 to 958 of the family's 1533-position model. The record is from RNAcentral.
UGCAAGUCACGGGGGCCCAGCAAUGGGUAACCGGCGAACGGGUGCGUAACACGUGAGCAACCUACCGAAAUGAGGGGGAUAGCCGUCCCAACGGACGGGUAAUACCGCAUACGCUCUAGUUCAGGCAUUUGGAUUAGAGGAAACCUCCGGGGCAUUUCGAGGGGCUCGCGGUCUAUCAGCUAGUUGGCGAGGUAACGGCUCACCAAGGCGACGACGGGUAGCUGGUCUGAGAGGAUGGCCAGCCACAUUGGGACUGAGAUACGGCCCAGACUCCUACGGGAGGCAGCAGUGGGGAAUCUUGCGCAAUGGCCUAACGGCUGACGCAGCGACGCCGCGUGAGGGAUGACGCUCUUCGGAGUGUAAACCUCUUUUGCCUGAGACGAAUUGCCAGCUUCAGCUGGUUUGACUGUAUCGGGUGAAUAAGCACCGGCUAACUCCGUGCCAGCAGCCGCGGUAAUACGGGGGGUGCGAGCGUUGUCCGGAAUCACUGGGCGUAAAGGGCGCGUAGGUGGCCUGAUAAGGGUGUGGUGAAAGUCCGGGGCUCAACCCCGGAUCGGCCGUGCCGACUGUUGGGCUGGAGUACUGUAGGGGCAGGCGGAAUUCCGGGUGUAGCGGUGGAAUGCGUAGAGAUCCGGAGGAAGACCGGUGGCGAAGGCGGCCUGCUGGGCAGUUACUGACACUGAGGCGCGACAGCGUGGGGAGCAAACAGGAUUAGAUACCCUGGUAGUCCACGCCGUAAACGAUGGGUACUAGGUGCCUGGGGGAGCGACCCCUUGGGUGCCGGCGCUAACGCAGGAAGUACCCCGCCUGGGGAGUACGGCCGCAAGGCUGAAACUCAAAGGAAUUGACGGGGGCCCGCACAAGCGGUGGAGCAUGUGGUUUAAUUCGACGCA